RNAcentral lists this ribosomal RNA (222 nucleotides) under uncultured Candidatus Accumulibacter sp. RNAcentral's name for it is "partial 16S ribosomal RNA". It matches the Rfam family "Bacterial small subunit ribosomal RNA", at positions 637 to 857 of the family's 1533-position model. Lineage: Bacteria; Pseudomonadati; Pseudomonadota; Betaproteobacteria. The record is from RNAcentral.
CCUUCUGGAGUUUGGCAGAGGGGGGUGGAAUUCCACGUGUAGCAGUGAAAUGCGUAGAGAAGUGGAGGAACACCAAUGGCGAAGGCAGCCCCCUGGGUCGAUACUGACGCUCAUGCACGAAAGCGUGGGUAGCAAACAGGAUUAGAUACCCUGGUAGUCCACGCCCUAAACGAUGUCAACUAGGUGUUGGGAGGGUAAAACCUUUUAGUGCCGUAGCUAACG